Molecule: long non-coding RNA, 635 nt
Filed under: Capsicum annuum
Lineage: Eukaryota; Viridiplantae; Streptophyta; Magnoliopsida; Solanales; Solanaceae
Description: long non-coding RNA (CANN_LNC013808)
Source: RNAcentral
CAACAACAACAACAACAAACCCAGUGUAUUCCCACUUAGUGGGGUCUGGGGGGGUAAGAUGUACGCAGUCCAUACCUCUACCUUUGAUGAAGUAGAAAGGCUGUUUCCGAAAGACCCCCGGCUCAAGGCACAAGAUAUCACACAAACACAUAGUAAAGCACAGAAGCAGAUGACAUAACAUAAAUACGGCACCCAUAAGGAAUAUAAAACAGAGGAAAGCAGAGGAAAGCACACAGAUUCGUAAUAAGCAUGGAACACUGAAUACGGAAUCAUAACGGGAAUAAAAAAUAAAAAAUAAAAAAAACCCCACCAAGUAAUUCCUUACACUAGCGACCCAAUCUGGCCCUACUCUUCUUCCGUAAUUCGCGUCUUCCAGACCUUCCUAUCUAGGGUCAUGUCCUCGGUAAGCUGUAACUGUUCCAUGUCCCGCCUAAUCACCUCACCCCAGUACUUCUUCGGUCUACCCCUACCCCGUCUAAAACCAUCCAACGCUAGCCUCUCACACCUACGGACCGGGGCAUCCAUGCCCCUCCUCUUCACGUGUCCGAACCAUCUCAAUCGUGCUUCCCGCAUCUUACACUCCACUGAAGUCACACCAACCUUCUCCCGGAUAGUCUCAUUCCGAACUCUAUCCC